CUACGGGUCGCUGCAGUGAGGAAUAUUGCACAAUGGGGGGAACCCUGAUGCAGCAACGCCGCGUGGAGGAUGACGCAUUUCGGUGUGUAAACUCCUUUUAUAUGUCAAGAAAAUGACGGUAGCAUAUGAAUAAGCACCGGCUAACUCCGGCCAGGAGCCGCGGUAAUACGGAGGGUGCAAGCGUUACUCGGAAUCACUGGGCGUAAAGGACGCGUAGGCGGGUUGGAAAGUCAGGUGUGAAAUCCUACAGCUUAACUGUAGAACUGCACUUGAAACUUCUAAUCUAGAGUAUGGGAGGGGGAGAUGGAAUUAGUAGUGUAGGGGUAAAAUCCGUAGAUAUCACUAGGAAUACCUAAAGCGAAGGCGAUCUCCUGGAACAUUACUGACGCUAAGGCGUGAAAGCGUGGGGAGCAAACAGGAUUAGAUACCCGGGUAGUC
Molecule: ribosomal RNA, 438 nt
Filed under: uncultured bacterium
Lineage: Bacteria
Description: partial 16S ribosomal RNA
Rfam family: Bacterial small subunit ribosomal RNA
Source: RNAcentral